AACGAACGCUGGCGGCAUGCCUAACACAUGCAAGUCGAACGAGACCUUCGGGUCUAGUGGCGCACGGGUGCGUAACGCGUGGGAACCUACCCUUAGGUUCGGAAUAACUCCCCGAAAGGGGUGCUAAUACCGGAUAAUGUCUUCGGACCAAAGAUUUAUCGCCUUUGGAUGGGCCCGCGUUGGAUUAGCUAGUUGGUAGGGUAAAAGCCUACCAAGGCGACGAUCCAUAGCUGGUCUGAGAGGAUGAUCAGCCACACUGGGACUGAGACACGGCCCAGACUCCUACGCGAGGCAGCAGUGGGGAAUAUUGGACAAUGGGCGAAAGCCUGAUCCAGCAAUGCCGCGUGAGUGAUGAAGGCCUUAGGGUUGUAAAGCUCUUUUACCCGGGAUGAUAAUGACAGUACCGGGAGAAUAAGCUCCGGCUAACUCCGUG
RNAcentral lists this ribosomal RNA (433 nucleotides) under uncultured bacterium. RNAcentral describes it as "partial 16S ribosomal RNA". It matches the Rfam family "Bacterial small subunit ribosomal RNA", at positions 29 to 507 of the family's 1533-position model. The record is from RNAcentral.